This 727-nucleotide ribosomal RNA is filed under the name uncultured Pseudomonas sp. Its description in RNAcentral is "bacterial SSU rRNA". It matches the Rfam family "Bacterial small subunit ribosomal RNA", at positions 138 to 857 of the family's 1533-position model. The record is from RNAcentral. Lineage: Bacteria; Pseudomonadati; Pseudomonadota; Gammaproteobacteria; Pseudomonadales; Pseudomonadaceae.
GUGGGGAUACGUCGGAACGGACGCUAAUACCGCANACGUCCUACGGGAGAAAGCAGGGGACCUUCGGGCCCUUGCGCUAUCAGAUGAGCCUAGGUCGGAUUAGCUAGUUGGUGAGGUAAUGGCUCACCAAGGCGACGAUCCGUAACUGGUCUGAGAGGAUGAUCAGUCACACUGGAACUGAGACACGGUCCAGACUCCCUACGGGAGGCAGCAGUGGGGAAUAUUGGACAAUGGGCGAAAGCCUGAUCCAGCCAUGCCGCGUGUGUGAAAGAAGGUCUUCGGAUUGUAAAGCACUUUAAGUUGGGAGGAAAGGGGCAUUAACCUAAUACGUUAGUGUUUUGACGUUACCGACAGAAUAAGCACCGGCUAACUCUGUGCCAGCAGCCGCGGUAAUACAGAGGGUGCAAGCGUUAAUCGGAAUUACUGGGCGUAAAGCGCGCGUAGGUGGUUUGUUAAGUUGGAUGUGAAAUCCCCGGGCUCAACCUGGGAACUGCAUUCAAAACUGACUGACUAGAGUGUGGUAGAGGGUGGUGGAAUUUCCUGUGUAGCGGUGAAAUGCGUAGAUAUAGGAAGGAACACCAGUGGCGAAGGCGACCACCUGGACCAACACUGACACUGAGGUGCGAAAGCGUGGGGAGCAAACAGGAUUAGAUACCCUGGUAGUCCACGCCGUAAACGAUGUCAACUAGCCGUUGGAAGCCUUGAGCUUUUAGUGGCGCAGCUAACG